Molecule: ribosomal RNA, 506 nt
Filed under: uncultured bacterium
Lineage: Bacteria
Description: partial 16S ribosomal RNA
Rfam family: Bacterial small subunit ribosomal RNA
Source: RNAcentral
AUUGAACGCUGGCGGCAGGCCUAACACAUGCAAGUCGAACGGCAGCGGGGGGAAGCUUGCUUCCCCGCCGGCGAGUGGCGGACGGGUGAGUAAUGUCUGGGAAACUGCCUGAUGGAGGGGGAUAACUACUGGAAACGGUAGCUAAUACCGCAUAACGUCGCAAGACCAAAGAGGGGGACCUUCGGGCCUCUGGCCAUCAGAUGUGCCCAGAGGGGAUUAGCUAGUAGGUGGGGUAACGGCUCACCUAGGCGACGGUCCCUAGCUGGUCUGAGAGGAUGACCCACCACAGUGGAACUGGGGGACGGGCCAGACUCCUACGGGGGGCAGCAGUGGGGAAUAUUGCACAAUGGGCGCAAGCCUGAUGCAGCCAUGCCGCGUGUAUGAAGAAGGCCUUCGGGUUGUAAAGUACUUUCAGCGGGGAGGAAGGUGAUAAGGUUAAUAACCUUGUCGAUUGACGUUACCCGCAGAAGAAGCACCGGCUAACUCCGUGCCAGCCGCCGCCGUAA